CCGGGAAUUUUGGGCAAUGGGCGAAAGCCUGACCCAGCAACGCCGCGUGAGGGAUGAAGUAUUUCGGUAUGUAAACCUCGAAAGAAUGGGAAGAAUAAAUGACGGUACCAUUUAUAAGCUCCGGCUAACUACGUGCCAGCAGCCGCGGUAAUACGUAGGGAGCAAGCGUUGUUCGGAUUUACUGGGCGUAAAGGGCGCGUAGGCGGCGCGGUAAGUCACUUGUGAAAUCUCUGAGCUUAACUCAGAACGGCCAAGUGAUACUGCUGCGCUAGAGUGCGGAAGAGGCAACCGGAAUUCUUGGUGUAGCGGUGAAAUGCGUAGAUAUCAAGAGGAACACCUGAGGCGAAGGCGGGUUGCUGGGCCGACACUGACGCUGAUGCGCGAAAGCCAGGGGAGCAAACG
RNAcentral lists this ribosomal RNA (402 nucleotides) under uncultured bacterium. Its description in RNAcentral is "bacterial SSU rRNA". It matches the Rfam family "Bacterial small subunit ribosomal RNA", at positions 355 to 774 of the family's 1533-position model. The record is from RNAcentral.